This 253-nucleotide ribosomal RNA is filed under the name uncultured bacterium. Its description in RNAcentral is "partial 16S ribosomal RNA". It matches the Rfam family "Bacterial small subunit ribosomal RNA", at positions 524 to 776 of the family's 1533-position model. The record is from RNAcentral.
UACAGAGGUGGCAAGCGUUGUUCGGAAUUACUGGGCGUAAAGGGCGCGUAGGCGGUCUUGUCAGUCCCUUGUGAAAUCCCCCGGCUCAACUGGGGAACUGCAAGGGAAACAGCAGGGCUUGAGUUCGGGAGAGGGAAGCGGAAUUCCGGGUGUAGCGGUGAAAUGCGUAGAUAUCAAGAGGAACACCUGCGGCGAAGGCGGGUUGCUGGGCCGACACUGACGCUGAGGCGCGAAAGCUAGGGGAGCGAACGGG